YAAAAACAUGUCCUUUAGAAAUGUAAUUMMAGGYGCUGACCUGYUCCAGUGAAGAMUUUUAACGGCCGCGGUAUACUGACCGUGCAAAGGUAGCAUAAUCAUUAGUCUUUUAAUAGAGGGCUGGAAUGAAGGGUUUAACGAGGAAUUGGCUGUCUCAUUUUAUUUGUUUUAGAAAUUAAUUUUUUAGUUAAAAAGCUUAAAUAGUAUUGGAAGACGAGAAGACCCUAUAGAGCUUUACAUAAAUUAGCUUAUUUAUUUUUAUAUUAUUAUACUUAAAUUGGUUUAUGUUUUGUUGGGGUGACAAAAACAUAUAAUUAACUUUUUUAUUUAUUUACCAUUGAUUUAUGAUUAUUAGAUCCAGGAUUAUUGAUUGAUAGACUAAGUUACCUUAGGGAUAACAGCGUAAUCCUCCUCCAGAGUUCAUAUUUACAGGAUGGGCUUGCRACCUCGAUGUUGGAUUAAGAAAAUAAUUAGGUGUAGCCGCUYAAUUUAUAGGUC
This 498-nucleotide ribosomal RNA is filed under the name Hadrothemis defecta. RNAcentral describes it as "partial 16S ribosomal RNA". It matches the Rfam family "Bacterial large subunit ribosomal RNA", at positions 1808 to 2577 of the family's 2925-position model. The record is from RNAcentral. Lineage: Eukaryota; Metazoa; Arthropoda; Insecta; Odonata; Libellulidae.